CUGGCGGCGUGCCUAACACAUGCAAGUCGAGCGAGGAGAUCCUCGGGAUGAUCCUAGCGGCGGACGGGUGAGUAACACGUGGGCAACCUGCCUCAUAGAGAGGAAUAGCCUUCCGAAAGGGAGAUUAAUACCUCAUAACAUUGCAGUUUCGCAUGGAACAGCAAUUAAAGGAGCAAUCCGCUAUGAGAUGGGCCCGCGGCGCAUUAGCUAGUUGGUGAGGUAACGGCUCACCAAGGCGACGAUGCGUAGCCGACCUGAGAGGGUGAUCGGCCACAUUGGGACUGAGACACGGCCCAGACUCCUACGGGAGGCAGCAGUGGGGAAUAUUGCACAAUGGGGGAAACCCUGAUGCAAGCAACGCCGCGUGAGUGAUGACGGCCUUCGGGUUGUAAAGCUCUGUCUUCAGGGACGAUAAUGACGGUACCUGAGGAGGAAGCCACGGCUAACUACGUGCCAGCAGCCGC
This 464-nucleotide ribosomal RNA is filed under the name uncultured bacterium. RNAcentral's name for it is "bacterial SSU rRNA". It matches the Rfam family "Bacterial small subunit ribosomal RNA", at positions 36 to 518 of the family's 1533-position model. The record is from RNAcentral.